AGCAGCCGCGGUAAUUCCAGCUCCAAUAGCGUAUAUUAAAGUUGUUGCAGUUAAAAAGCUCGUAGUUGAAUUUCGGGGUUAGUAGAUCGGUCGUGCCACUGGUAUGUACUGGUCUUACUGAUUCCUCCUUCCUGAUGAACCGUAAUGCCAUUAAUUUGGUGUUGCGGGGAGACUGGACUGUUACUUUGAAAAAUUAGAGUGUUUAAAGCAGGCUAACGCUUGAAUACAUUAGCAUGGAAUAAUGAAAUAGGACGUUCGAUCCUAUUUUGUUGGUUUCUAGGAUAGACGUAAUGAUUAAUAGGGAUAGUUGGGGGCAUUAGUAUUCAAUUGUCAGAGGUGAAAUUCUUGGGUUUAUUGAAGACUAACUACUGCGAAAGCAUUUGCCAAGGAUGUUUUCAUUAAUCAAGAACGAAAGUUAGGGGAUCGAAGACGAUCAGAUACCGUCGUAGUCUUAACCAUAACUAUGCCGACUAGGGAUCGGAUGAUGUUAAUUUUUAAUGACUCAUUCGGCGCCUUACGG
RNAcentral lists this ribosomal RNA (520 nucleotides) under uncultured Glomus. RNAcentral's name for it is "SSU rRNA". It matches the Rfam family "Eukaryotic small subunit ribosomal RNA", at positions 569 to 1093 of the family's 1831-position model. Lineage: Eukaryota; Fungi; Glomeromycota; Glomeromycetes; Glomerales; Glomeraceae. The record is from RNAcentral.